GUCUUUGAAGAAUUGUGCUGGGAUUUUGAUGGGGAUUGCAUUGAAUCAUUUGAUUGCAUUUGAUGGACAGCAUUACUACUCUUUCAUCUUGGAACCAUCAGGAAUAAUGUCCACCAUUUGAGCAUAAUGGUGAAAUGUUUGAUCUUAGGUAGCUGCUAAGAGGCUGAUGGGCAAGUAAUGUAUAUAGCAUGGAUACGCUAAUAAAGGAAGAAUUGAAUCGCAUGUACUGCCUUGUUUGAGCCGACUGGGAGGUUGCAAUUCUGGUCCUAAGUUGAAUGGCUGAAAUGUAGGCAGGUAUUGUUUAUACUGUCAAAGUCUCUGUGAGUCUAUAAGUGCAGCAGUUCCUUUGUUUCUGGAAAAUACUGUUUCCUUAGAGAUGUCCAACAUCUCUUGUUUUUUCUAAUCUUUCUAUCUUCUCUUCUACAUAAACCUUUGGCUUUUGGGGGAGAGGUUUAAUAAUGACCGAGUUUAUGCUAAAGUGUUCCAUGCUCCAUGCUCUCUCACUUCUCUGCACAUUGUCCAGUUUGGAUCUUGUGUCGAUUGCCACCUAUUGCAAGAAGAAAUUUCUCUGUUGAAGGUUGAGUGAUGCCCAAUUUAUGGGUAUAGAUACACAAGACCCAGCUAUACCACUCUAGAGAAUAUAUUCAAAGAACUCUAUCUUAUUACAGAGAUAUCUGCUCAUCUUUCCAGAUCCGCACACUUCCAUGUUCUUUCUCAGGUAG
Molecule: non-coding RNA, 722 nt
Organism: Cricetulus griseus (Chinese hamster)
Lineage: Eukaryota; Metazoa; Chordata; Mammalia; Rodentia; Cricetidae
Source: RefSeq, a predicted model, not a curated record